GACGGGGAAGCUUGCUUCCCCGGGCGUCGACCGGCGCACGAGUGAGUAACGCGUAUCCAACCUGCCUCUGACUGAGGGAUAACCCGUCGAAAGUCGGCCUAAUACCUCAUGGCAUCGUCUGCGGGCAUCCAACGACGAUUAAAGAUUUCAUCGGUCAGGGAUGGGGAUGCGUCUGAUUAGCUUGUUGGCGGGGUAACGGCCCACCAAGGCGACGAUCAGUAGGGGUUCUGAGAGGAAGGUCCCCCACAUUGGAACUGAGACACGGUCCAAACUCCUACGGGAGGCAGCAGUGAGGAAUAUUGGUCAAUGGGCGGAAGCCUGAACCAGCCAAGUAGCGUGCAGGAAGACGGCCCUAUGGGUUGUAAACUGCUUGUAUGCGGGGAUAAAGUGAGGGACGUGUCCUUCAUUGCAGGUACCGCAUGAAUAAGGACCGGCUAAUUCCGUGCCAGCAGCCGCGGUAAUACGGAAGGUCCGGGCGUUAUCCGGAUUUAUUGGGUUUAAAGGGAGCGUAGGCCGUGGAUUAAGCGUGUUGUGAAAUGCAGGUGCUCAACGUCUGCACUGCAGCGCGAACUGGUCCACUUGAGUGUGCGCAACGCAGGCGGAAUUCGUCGUGUAGCGGUGAAAUGCUUAGAUAUGACGAAGAACUCCGAUUGCGAAGGCAGC
This 663-nucleotide ribosomal RNA is filed under the name uncultured Bacteroidales bacterium. RNAcentral's name for it is "bacterial SSU rRNA". It matches the Rfam family "Bacterial small subunit ribosomal RNA", at positions 69 to 725 of the family's 1533-position model. Lineage: Bacteria; Pseudomonadati; Bacteroidota; Bacteroidia; Bacteroidales. The record is from RNAcentral.